This is a long non-coding RNA of Alosa alosa (allis shad), 359 nucleotides long. RefSeq lists it as uncharacterized. Lineage: Eukaryota; Metazoa; Chordata; Actinopteri; Clupeiformes; Clupeidae. The transcript is spliced from 3 exons. The record is from RefSeq and is a predicted model, not a curated record.
GUAAAAGUUUUAAUAUUUAAAGUGGACCCUUUCACAGCAAUAGUGGUGUGAUUGGCUGGUUUGUGUGACGUCUUCCUGUUCUAGUUCGAUGCCUCAACGGAAAAGACCACCUUCAGCAUUCACUCCACAUUACUCCCGGCAGAGACAGGUGUCUUGUCCUACUAACACCCCACUCGUGGCCUGCACCUUGAUGUGGUUGACAGGCCUCAAUGGACAGUGAGACAGUGAUCUACAUUUGGACUGGCACCAACCAGACAUGGACACUGAAGCUUGAUUUCUCAUGAAUAUCUUUACAAGAUGCAACACACAUUGUGGAACACUUUAGACACUAAUAAACAUGUCCAUUGUUUUCUCUGGAA